This 729-nucleotide ribosomal RNA is filed under the name Atkinsoniella nigrita. Its description in RNAcentral is "12S ribosomal RNA". Lineage: Eukaryota; Metazoa; Arthropoda; Insecta; Hemiptera; Cicadellidae. The record is from RNAcentral.
AAUAAGUUUGAUUCUAGCUUUUGUAUUAGUUUUUUAAAUUAAUUAUAUGUUUAUUUAUAAAUUAUUUUUAUUACAGUAAAUUGUUUUACAAUAAUUUUUAUUUUUUUUAAGAUAUUUAAUUAAAUUGGAUUAACUUUGUGCCAGCAUUCGCGGUUAUACAAAUCAUUUAAAUUAAUAUUUUUGGUUUUGUAUUUAUUUUUUCUUUGAUUAUAUUUAUUUUAUAUUUAGGUGGAAUUUAUAUUUAUAUUAAUUUCUAUAUUUUUAUAUAUUAAGUCUAUCUAUAAAACUAGGAUUAGAUACCCUAUUAUUUUAGAUUUAAAUUUAAAUUCUGAAUAUUAAUAGUUAAGUUCUAUAAAACUCAAAGAAUUUGGCGGUAAUUUAUCUUUAUAGAGGAACCUGUAUUUUAAUUGAUAAACCACAAUAAUUUCUACCUAUAAAUUAUUUGUAUACCGCUAUACUAUGGAGUAUUUUAUAAAGAAAUUUUUUUUUAUUAUAAAAAAUUAUAUUAGGUCAAGGUGCAGUUCUUUUUAGGUUUAUAUGGGUUACAUUAUUUGUAUUUUUUUGUUGAUUAUUAAUUUUAAAUUUUUUAUGAAAUAGGAUUUAUAAGUAAUUUUAAUUAAUUUAUUUUUUUGAAUUUAGCUCUAAAUUAUGUACAUAUCGCCCGUCACUCUCAAUAAAAUGGGAUAAGUCGUAACAAAGUAGUUGUACCGGAAGGUGUAUCUAGAAAGU